Molecule: long non-coding RNA, 4177 nt
Filed under: Homo sapiens (human)
Lineage: Eukaryota; Metazoa; Chordata; Mammalia; Primates; Hominidae
Description: HSALNT0291082
Source: RNAcentral
UGAACUAACCAAACUCAAGCCCAUGGUAUUGAGUCCACAUUGCAGAUAACAGCCCAUCUCUAACAGAAUAUAUAUUCACAUAGUAGGGUGAGAAAAACAGAACAAUCAUUAUCCUAAACACCAAACAGUAAAACUAAAUCCUCCCAGAAUGGGAGGUAGAGAGGAAUCUGCAUCAAAUAUGAAUUUAGUCUUACUCUGUAACUACUCUAUGAGCCUAUUUGCCAACUUUGUUUUAGCUAUUCAAAACUUUCAAAAAUGAACUAAGUCAGCUAAGGUAUUUCACUUUUACACUGCAAAUAGUUUGUGGAUCAAACUAUCAUUACCCCCUGCAAUCAUAACUGAACUUUCUUUUUUGAUAUUUUAAAGUCAACAUGGCUUUCCUGAAAGGGAGGGCAGAUACAAUCAUCUGUGUCCAUUUCAAUUUUCUGACACUUUUCAACACUAAGGAUAAAUGAAAUUGAAAGCUUUCAAAAAAGGGGAAUCAACUAUUGCCUGAUGACAAGAAGUUCGUGAAGACUCAACCACAAAUUAAAAACGAUUUGAAAAAACUCGAGAGAUGAAAGUCACAUUACCAAUUUAGAAUAAAACUCUUGGGAUUUAAUAUAGAAUUACUUUAUCUGUUAUUCCUACUUAAAGAAAUAAAGGUUUACACUCUGCAGACAGCACUACCUGAUUCCACACAAAAGCUACAAACAAAACCAGUUCAUACUUACCUCUUAAACAACACAAUGAGCAGGCUGCCAGGUGUUAAAGCUUCAUUAAAGAUGAUGCCUCUUGGAUCAUCUUGGCUGUAUGAGGCACCAUGUCCCUCAUAAUCGCCCCUGGUCCCUGGGCUGGAGUCUGUUUCUUCAUUUUCAUUUUUGGUUAAAGAUGCCACUCCCUAUGCUUUUAUUAAUUAGUGGAUGCCACUAAUUAAGUAUUUUAAUGAAUUUUUCAAAUUCUUUUAAAAUGGAUGGAUCAAUAGCUUCAUUUCAAUUACAUGAAAACCUUUCCAAGUCCAUGUUUCUGGUCUGUGGUUCCUGACUCCCUUGCCUGAGCCUCCUGCUCUGUCUGCCCUCUUCAUUCCUGAAGGCUGAAUUCAAACCUCCCUCUUUCAGACUUCCUCUUCUCUCUAGGUCUUGGGGGUCUUUGUUCAUGAAGGUCCCCUUUCUGGCAUAAAAACCUAAACCCAUGGUUGGGGACCUGGGAGAAAUAAAGUGCCUUUCAAGCGCUUCUUCAGACAUUGCGUGCAGUUCAGAAAUCUUUAGCCUGGGAGACUUUCAUCUCAACACACAGAAAACUCAAGUAAAACAUUUCCUCAAACUAUGGGCAUACAAAUUCAGAGCAUAAUCUAAUCCCUCACCUUCAGGGUACUAUAAGACCAGACGGCCCUAGGAAUGACAAUAAGGCAGAGAACAUUUACUUGUACAAAUCCUUCCUCAGCCAACCACGAUAAAGCUGAUACCACCUUACAGCUUUUCAAAGAGUAGCCUGAGGAGGAGAAUCACUAGCAGUCUCCAACUAAGGACAACAUCAUAAAAAAUACCAUCUGUCUCACUUUUGGCAGUAACUUGUCAGCUUGCUGGAAGCCUCUACAGAGACUAAAGGCUGAACAAGCCCGGAAACCUGAACUACCCUCUCACCCUCAGAGGCAAUCCCCAAAGGACAGGACUAAAGGAAAUAGCAUGAGGGAAGCUUUGAAUGUCAAUGCCCACAUGUAUCUAGUAUGGGAAUUUAAAAAAUCUUCUAUUUCCGGAGUUGUCAAUAACUCAUUUUGUAACCUUGGGCCAGUCACCUUAUCACCCCAUGCCUCAGUUUCCCCAUCAGUACAAACUAGGGACAACACUUGUUCAUAAAGUACUUUGACAUACUCAGUUGAAAAAUAAGUCAUACAAAUGCAUUAAUAUUUUCGGAAGUUUUAAGAUUUCAGUGUUAGCUUACAAAUUUGUAAGUAUCACCCCAACGGUAUUCUCUCAGAUGCCUGGAGCACCUUUCUUCUGAGGAGCUCAAAGUAAAAUUUGCGGUUCUGGGUACCUGGAAGCAUAAAAAAAUACUAGAAACCCAAACCACAUUUUAUUACCGAGUCUAUAUCCUGUGCCUAUCUUUUAAGAAGGGACAAAUACUUCGUAUGGCCCUUAAAUUCAUACAGUACCUCAAUGAGAAAGGAGGAGCAAAACAGUAUAUUAAACUGAAGAACAGGGAUUUUAAAUGACUUAGUCAAAUAAUUACAAAUGAUGUUUAUUCAUACCACAAACUGAAGGGACCAAGAACCAAGGAGUGGAGGUCUUGAACCAGGGCAAUUUACGCUGUUAACAUUUGGUCAAAAAUCUCAAUAUGGUAUUAUCUCUUGGCAUUGAUUUUUCAAAAUGACAGAAAAAAAUUAAAUUCCCCAUAUAUUGGGGGAAAAAAAUAAUACACUUUUUUGGGGGGUAAGUUGACUUUAAAAAGUGACUUUUAAUAAAAAAAAAUUUGAUCACAUUUGUAAUAGUUAUAUUACUAAUAAAACAAUGACAGAAUGCUACUUAAUUCAUAGUCCUAUCUCUAUUUAUUAUUCAUUCAAGAAAAACUUCCUGAUUAUUUUUCACUUGGUAAAUUAGCAUCUUUUAUUUUUAUUUUUUAUUUUUGAGACAGAGUCUCACUCUGUCACCCAAGCUGGAGUGGAAUGGUGUGAUCUCACACUGCAACUUCCGCCUCCCGGGUUCAAGCGGUUCUCCUGCCUCAGCCUCCCGAGUAGCUAGGAUUGCAGGAGCCUACCACCAUGCCCAGCUAAUUUUUGUAAUUUCAGUAGAGACAGGGUCUCAUCAUGUUGGUCAGGCUGGUCUCGAACUUCUGACCUCAGGUGAUCCGCCCGCCUUGGCCUCCUAAAGUGCUGGAAUUACAGACGUGAGCCACCACGCCUGGCCAGCAAACACAACAGGGGUACUCCAUGCUGUUGAAGUGCCCAUCACACGGGCAUGCUCAUACACUGCGGGUGUUAAGUGUAACUGGUGUAGCUUUUCUGGAAAGUUAUUUGGUUAUAUGCACUGAGAUACUUGAAUAUGUUCACUCCUGCUGUGACACAUGAAUUUUAUUUCAUGGAAUCCAUAUGUACUCAGGGAUAAUAAAAAUGCAAACAAAGUUUUAUGCACAUAAUACCCAUCACAGGGUUACUUAUAACAGCAAGAAUUAGGAGACCAAAAAAAAGGUAGACAAUAUAAGAGGAAUGGUUGGGUAAGUCAUAAUAUUGCCAUACAAUGGAUUUUAUGAAGCCAUUAAUAAGGAAGAUUUUAAUGUAAUAGAAAAUACAUGAGAUAAAUUAAGUAAAAAAAGCGUGACACAAAAUUGCACGUAAAACCUCACCCAUCUUAAAAGGAUGCUUAAUGAUACUUUUCACUUUAUGCUUUCAUAAUAUCUAAAUGAUCUACAAUUAACCUACAUUUAUUCUCUAAUGAGUCAAAAAGGCUUUUUUUUUUUUUUUUUUUUUUUUUGAGACAGAGUCUUGCUCUGUCAUCCAGGCUGGAGUGCAGUGGUGCGAUCUCGGCUCACUGCAAGCUCAGCCUCCCGGGUUCACGCCAUUCUCCUACUUCAACCUCCCAAGUAGCUGGGACUACAGGCGCAGGCCAACAGGCCCGGCUAAUUUUUUUUGUAUUUUUUUUUUAGUAGAGAUAGGGUUUCACCAUGUUAGCCAGGAUGGUCUCGAUCUCCUGACCUCGUGAUCCGCCCGCCUCGGCCUCCCAAAGUGCUGGGAUUACAGGCGUGAGCCACCACAACUGGCCGGUGGGUUUUUUAAUUAAAAAAAAAAAAAAGAAAAGAAGAGAGACAGAGUGCGUGCGUGCACAUGCCCAUACCUGUAUGUGAAAAAAAGUAAAACUAAAAAACCCAAAAUGCAAAGAGUUACAUCUUUGGAUUAUUUUGGUCCUUCUCCAUAUAAAAAAAUUAUAAUAGGCCAGGUGUGGUGGCUCACGCCUGUAAUCCCAGCACUUUGUGAGGUAGAUCACUUUGAGGUCAGGAGUUCAAAACCAGGCUGGCCAACGUGGUGAAACCCCGUUUCUACAAAAAAUACAAAAAUUAGCCGGGGGUGGUGGUGCACACCUGUAAUCCCAGCUACUUGGGAGGCUGAGGCAGCAGAAUCGCUUGUACCUGGGAGGUGAGCCACGAUUGUGCCACUGCAUUCCAGCCUGGGCAACAGACAGAGACUCCAUCUCAAAAAAAAUUUCCG